Molecule: unclassified non-coding RNA, 1996 nt
Filed under: Hevea brasiliensis (rubber tree)
Lineage: Eukaryota; Viridiplantae; Streptophyta; Magnoliopsida; Malpighiales; Euphorbiaceae
Source: RNAcentral
GCGAGAAAAAGUAAGCUGCCAUAGAAGCAACCAAAGAUGGCUAAGGGAACAGAUGAUGUCAGAAUCCCGAUGCCAAAUGGGAAGGAUGGUGAGAACAAAAAAGGCUGGAAAUUUUACACCAUCUUCGUUGGGUCUAUUGUAUUUUCGUGCAUUAUUUUUGGGCUUUUAAUCUCUAGCUUAACAGUGGAUAGAUUGCAAAAUUCUAAGAUUUGGGAUUUCGAAUUAUGGAAAUGGUGUGUGUUACUACUGGUUGUUCUGGGCGGUGGAUUGACUGUGUACCUGUUCCUACUUGCUGUGGAGUCGUUGAUCAUUAAGAAUUUCCUUUUCAAGGUCGAAGUGGUUUAUUACUAUCAUGGAAUGAAGAAGAGUGUUUUGGUUUUCAUUUGGCUGGCUUUGGUGUUUUUGGCUUGGGGAUUGCUGUUUUAUCGGGGGGAUAAUAAGCUAAGCGAGGGUACUAAGAAGACUAUAGAUGGUGUUACUAGAGGUAUUGGUGGUUGUCUCAUUGGAGUUGCUAUGUGGUUAGUGAAAACUUUGUUAGUUAAGCUUGUAGCUUCCUUCCAUAUGAAGACUUUGUUUGAGAAAAUUAAAGCAGCAGACCGUAGUCGUAAGAUCUUUGAAUCCAUUUCAACGAAGCAAAAGCCCCAGGACGGCACAAUGAAGUACACAACAACAGAGUUAUUUGAUGCGAUUCGGAAUAAAAAGCUGCCUAAUCUCUGCUAUGAGGAAGAAGAAAUCACAGAUGAGAACAGAGCAGCGAAUGCUGCUAAUGAGAUUUUCAAGAAAUUUGAACGUGGUGACGAUGAAAGAUACAUAGACAUGAAUGAAUUAUUGGAAUACAUACCUGAUGAUGCCGAUGAUUAUAAGCAUUUCAAAGAAGCAGCAGAAGAAAAACAGAUGGGCGAAGGUAAACAGAUCAAGAGAUCAGUUUUCAGGAGUUGGGUGGUUUCACUUUACAACAGCUAUGACUCUGUUAACAGCGCCUUGAAACAAAGGAAAACAGCGGUUGACGAGUUGAAUAAAUUGUUUUCCGUGGUUGUGCUUCUCGUUAUCAUUGUAGUGUGGUUACUUUUCAUGGAAUAUUUAAACAUCAAAGUACUUGUCUUCAUGUCUUCUCAAAUUCUACUUGUAGUUUUCAUGUUUGGCAACGCUGCAAAGACUGUAUUUGAAUCCAUCAUAUUCGUAUUUAUCAUGCACCCCUUUGAUGUAGGCGAUCGGUGUGUUGUUGAUGGCAUACAGGCAAGUCCCUAAUCUCAAAACCUUGUGAUGGAUGAUUCAUUUAGCUGAUAAUAAUGAUUAAUAUUUUGAUACUUACAUUGAUUCCAGAUGAUUGUUGAAGAGAUGGAAAUACUAACGACAAACUUUCUGAGAUAUGAUAAUGAAAAGAUAUACUAUCCUAAUUCAGUUUUAGCUACCAAACCCAUUAGCAACUUAUACAGAAGUCCACCAAUGUCAGAUUCUUUCGAAUUUGCUAUUGAUCUUCAUACUUCAAAGGAGAAAAUUGAGAAUUUACAAGCUAGCAUCAGAGAGUACUUUGAAGCCAAUCCUAGGCGAUGGAGUCCUGCUAGUGACAGCCUACAGUUUAAGGAGAUAGAGGAUAUGAAUAAAAUGAAAGUGGCUCUCUAUUUUAAACACACCAUAAACUUUCACAAUGUUGCAAAGAGGUUCAAACGAAGAUCUGAGCUCGUAUUAGCGAUGAAGGACAUUUUUGAAAAGCUUAUGAUUAAAUAUUAUCUGUUGCCUCAGAGAGUUCAUCUCAUCGAUGGACCUUCUUUGGGAAAAAGUAGCUCUCUCACUCCUGCUGUACAGAGACGUUCCUUCUCUUUCUAAAGUUUGAUGACUCAAAAUAUUUCUCCAUUAGUUCUACCAUAUAUUUUAUAUCUUAAAUUAAUGAUGAAUAAGAUUUGUAUAAGAAAAAUCUUUCUUUUUGUGUGUUUGUCAAGAUUUCUUGCAAACUUUCUUUGGAUAUAUGUAUCACUUGUAAACUAAUGAUAGAUUU